RNAcentral lists this ribosomal RNA (532 nucleotides) under Xanthomonas arboricola. RNAcentral's name for it is "bacterial SSU rRNA". It matches the Rfam family "Bacterial small subunit ribosomal RNA", at positions 492 to 1026 of the family's 1533-position model. The record is from RNAcentral. Lineage: Bacteria; Pseudomonadati; Pseudomonadota; Gammaproteobacteria; Lysobacterales; Lysobacteraceae.
ACCGGCUAACUUCGUGCCAGCAGCCGCGGUAAUACGAAGGGUGCAAGCGUUACUCGGAAUUACUGGGCGUAAAGCGUGCGUAGGUGGUGGUUUAAGUCUGUUGUGAAAGCCCUGGGCUCAACCUGGGAAUUGCAGUGGAUACUGGGUCACUAGAGUGUGGUAGAGGGUAGCGGAAUUCCCGGUGUAGCAGUGAAAUGCGUAGAGAUCGGGAGGAACAUCCGUGGCGAAGGCGGCUACCUGGACCAACACUGACACUGAGGCACGAAAGCGUGGGGAGCAAACAGGAUUAGAUACCCUGGUAGUCCACGCCCUAAACGAUGCGAACUGGAUGUUGGGUGCAAUUUGGCACGCAGUAUCGAAGCUAACGCGUUAAGUUCGCCGCCUGGGGAGUACGGUCGCAAGACUGAAACUCAAGGAAUUGACGGGGGCCCGCACAAGCGGUGGAGUAUGUGGUUUAAUUCGAUGCAACGCGAGGACCUUACCUGGUCUUGACAUCGACGGAACUUUCAGAGAUGGAUUGGUGCUUUCGGCA